RNAcentral lists this ribosomal RNA (562 nucleotides) under uncultured Glomeromycotina. Its description in RNAcentral is "SSU rRNA". It matches the Rfam family "Eukaryotic small subunit ribosomal RNA", at positions 548 to 1114 of the family's 1831-position model. Lineage: Eukaryota; Fungi; Glomeromycota. The record is from RNAcentral.
UUGGAGGGCAAGUCUGGUGCCAGCAGCCGCGGUAAUUCCAGCUCCAAUAGCGUAUAUUAAAGUUGUUGCAGUUAAAAAGCUCGUAGUUGAAUUUCGGGACCAAUUUGUUGGUCGUGCCUCGGUACGUACUGGUAUUAUUGGUUUCUCCCUUCUGAAGAACCUUGAUGUCAUUAAUUUGGUGUCUUGGGGAAUCAGGACCGUUACUUUGAAAAAAUUAGAGUGUUUAAAGCAGGCAUACGCUUGAAUACACUAGCAUGGAAUAAUGAAAUAGGACGUUUGAUUCUAUUUUGUUGGUUUCUAGGAUCGACGUAAUGAUUAAUAGGGAUAGUUGGGGGCAUUAGUAUUCAAUUGUCAGAGGUGAAAUUCUUGGAUUUAUUGAAGACUAACUACUGCGAAAGCAUUUGCCAAGGAUGUUUUCAUUAAUCAAGGACGAAAGUUAGGGGAUCGAAGGCGAUCAGAUACCGUCGUAGUCUUAACCAUAAACUAUGCCGACUAGGGAUCGGAUGAUGUUAUUUUUAAUGACUCAUUCGGCGCCUUACGGGAAACCAAAGUGUUUGGGUUC